RNAcentral lists this ribosomal RNA (450 nucleotides) under uncultured bacterium. Its description in RNAcentral is "partial 16S ribosomal RNA". It matches the Rfam family "Bacterial small subunit ribosomal RNA", at positions 354 to 796 of the family's 1533-position model. The record is from RNAcentral.
GUGGGGAAUAUUGGGCAAUGGACGAAAGUCUGACGGAGCGACGCCGCGUGAGUGAAGAAGGCCUUCGGGUCGUAAAGCUCUGUCAUCAGGGACGAACGGCCGGUGGAGUGGAAAGCCACCGGAUUGACGGUACCUGAGAAGGAAGCCACGGCUAACUACGUGCCAGCAGCCGCGGUAAUACGUAGGUGGCAAGCGUUGUCCGGAAUUAUUGGGCGUAAAGCGCGCGCAGGUGGGAUCUUAAGUCCAUUUUUAAAGUUCGGAGCUCAACUCCGUGAUGGGAUGGAAACUGGGAUUCUUGAGUACCGGAGAGGAAAGCGGAAUUCCCCGUGUAGCGGUGAAAUGCGUAGAUAUGGGGAGGAACACCAGUGGCGAAGGCGGCUUUCUGGACGGUGUCUGACACUGAGGCGCGAAAGCCAGGGGAGCGAACGGGAUUAGAAACCCCUGUAGUCC